Non-coding RNA from Callithrix jacchus (white-tufted-ear marmoset), 2799 nucleotides. The record is from RefSeq and is a predicted model, not a curated record. NCBI's taxonomy places the organism in Eukaryota, Metazoa, Chordata, Mammalia, Primates, Cebidae.
GCCAGAUAUAAAGAUUGGGUUACCCACAAAGGGAAGCCCAUCAGAGUAACAGUGGAUCUCUCUGCAGAAACUCUACAAGCCAGAAGAGAAUGGGGGCCAAUAUUCAACAUUCUUAAAGAAAAGAAUUUUCAAACCAAAAUUUCAUAUCCAGCCAAACUUAGCUUCAUAAGCGAAGGAGAAAUAAAAUCCUUUACAGACAAGCAAAUGCUGAGAGAUUUUGUCACCACCAGGCCUGUCUUACAAGAGUUCCUGAAGGAAGUACUAAACAUGGAAAGGAAAACCCGGUACCAGACACUGCAAAAAUGUACCAAAUUGUAAAGACCAUUGACACUGUGAAGACACUGCAUGAAUUAAUGGACAAAAUAACCAACUAGCAUCAUAGGGACAGGAUCAAAUUCACAUAUAACAAUAUUAACCUUAAAUGUAAAUGAGCUAAAUGCCCCAGUUAAAAGACUCACACUGGCAAAUUGGAUAGAGUCAAGACCCAUCAGUGUGCUGUAUUCAGGAGACCCAUCUCACGUGCACAGACACACAUAGUCUCAAAAUAAAGGGAUGAAGGAAGAUUUACCAAGCAAAUUAAAAGCAAAAAAAAAAGCAGGGAUUACAAUCCUAGUCUCUGAUAAAACAGACUUUAAACCAACAAACGUAAACAAAGACAAAGAAGGGCAUUACAUGAUGGCAAAAGGAUCAAUGCAACAAGAAGAGCUGACAAUCCUAAACGUAUAUGCACCCAAUACAGGAGCACCCAGAUUCAUAAAGCAAGUUCUUAGAGACCUACAAAGAGACUUAGACUCCCACUCAAUAGUAGUGGGAGACUUUAACACCCCACUGUCAAUAUUAGAUCAACGAGACAGAAAAUUAACAUGGAUGUUCAGGACUUGAACCCUUAUCCAGACCAAGUGGACCUAAUAGACAUUUUCAGAACUCCCCACCCCAAAUCAACAGAACAUACAUUCUUCUCAGCACCAUAUUGCACUGAUUCUAAAAUUGACCACAUAAUUGGAAGUAAAAUCCUCAGCAAAUGCAAAAGAACAGAAAUCAUAACAAACAGUCUCUCAGACCACAGUGCAACCAAGUUAGAACUCAGAAUUCAGAAACUCACUCAAAACCGCACAACUACAUGGAAACUGAACAACCUGCUCCUGAAUCACUCUGGGUACAUAAUGAAACUGAGGCAGUAAUAAAUAAUUUCUUUGAAACCAUGAUAAUAAAGACAUAAUGUACCAGAAUCUCUGGGACACACCCAAAGCAGUGUUUCGAGUGGCAUUUAUAGCACUAAAUGCCCGCAGGAGAAAUCAGGAAAGAUAUAAAAUCAACACCCUAACAUCACACUUAAAAGAACUAGAGAAGCAAAAGCAAACAAAUUAGAAAGCUAGCAGAAGACGAGAAAUAACUAAGAUCAGAGCAGAACUGAAGGAGCUAGAAACAGGAAAGACCCUUAAAAAAAUCAAUGAGGCUGCCACUGCCUUCAGAUCGUAGGGUCCCGGGCGGUAGCCUCUCGCAGCUCUCAGGGGAUCCAGGAAGGAGGCCUGCGGGCACGCGGUAGAGUGGGCCGGGAGACGAGGAGCUGGCAGCAGCAGCGCAGCAGGCCCUGACGAGCCACUGGCGCCACUGCUCCCACAGCAAUGAAGAUGGUCGCGCCCUGGACACAGCUCUACUCCAACAGCUGCUGCCUGUGCUGCCCUGUCCACACUGGCACGGCACCUGGUACCUGAUCAUCAAUGCCUGGUACUGUUGAUUUUAUUGAAUGCUUUAGCUGAUCCGGAUCAGUAUUGCUUCUCAAGUUCUGAACUGGGCAGUGACUUUGAGUUCAUGGAUGAUGCCAACAUGUGCAUUGCCAUUGGGAUUUCUCUUCUCAUGAUUCUGAUAUGUGCUAUCACUACUUAGGAGCAUACAAGCAACACGCAGCCUGGAUUAUCCCAUCCUUCUGUUACCAGAUCUUUGAUUUUGCCCUGAACACCUUGGUAGCAAUCACUGUGCUUGUUUAUCCAAACUCCAUUCAGGAAUACAUAGGACAACUGCCUCCUAAUUAUCCCUACAGAGAUGAUGUCAUGUCAGUGAAUCCUACCUGUUUGGUCCUUAUUGUUCUGUUUAUUAAUAUUACCUUGACUUUUCAGGGUUACUUGAUUAGCUAUGUUUGGAACUGCUACCGAUACAUCAAUCGCAGGAAGUCCUCCAGUGUCCUGGUUACCAGCAAGGACAACAUGGUGCUGCUACGCCCGUAUGAUGAUGUCACUGUGAAUGGGGCUGUCAAGGAGCCUCCGCCACCUUAUAUGUCUGCAUAAGCCUUCAAGUGGGCGGAGCCGAGGGCAGCAGCUUGACUUUUUCGACAUCUGAGCGAUAGUUCUGUUAUUUCAGUUUUGCGAUGCGCUCUCUGAGCAUGUUGCUGAAAUGCCACUUUUUAAAAUGUAGAUGUUAGGUUGAAACCUGUACUUUUUAGCAUAUGCUUUACUAGAACACUGUGAUAGAUGAGCUGUAGAAUUCUUUCUGUAGGAUUCGGGGUGUCAUGGGCUUCAUUAACCUUCCCUAGGCACUGAAACUUCCCCCAAAUCUGAUGGCUCCAGAGUCAGAGAAGUUCGCUUUUGUACCUGCUGGACUCCAAAGUUGGGCAGUUAGUCACUUCUUUUUUCUUUGUUCCUCUAUUUUGAAAGUGUAAAAUAAAACCAGAAAUAGACAACUUUUUCUUAAGCCAUUCCAGUGUAGGAAAUAAAACCUUAUGAAAACAGGAAUGUCAACUGUGUAAUCAUUGUUCUAUUUAGGUAAAUAGAAGUCCUUAUGUAUGUAUUACAAGAACUUCCC